Long non-coding RNA from Chelonia mydas (Green sea turtle), 765 nucleotides. RefSeq lists it as uncharacterized. The record is from RefSeq and is a predicted model, not a curated record. Lineage: Eukaryota; Metazoa; Chordata; Testudines; Cheloniidae. The transcript has 5 exons.
CUUUUGCCGGGAACAGAAAGGAAUGGAGUCUUAGAACUUAGCCCCAGUCAGGAUCACCUCCGCUGUACUAUCCACUCCUGCCUGCUUGUGGAUCCCCAGGCCCUUGGAGAGACCUCUGAACCGGCAAAACAGCUGAGCUAGCUUCCCAUGGACCAUGACAAUUUGGAUUUUGGAAACUAAUAAACGGUCAGUUAAAAGCAGCAGUAAUGAUAUCGCCAGUCAAGAAGAUAUGACAGGUGAUCCUAGAGGGAGAUUGUUAAAAUGGAGACAUAAUUUCCAUAGCACUAUGAUGUCACACACUAGACUGUGAUAUCACUGUUGGCUACAGUAGAACAAAAGUCUGGAAUAUGCUUGAGGGAGACCUUAAUGGAACACAAAUAGUUUUGAUACUAUCAAAGGAAAAGAUGAAAUAAUUACAAUGGAACAGAUGAGCCCCUGCUGAUACCAUGUCAAUGUGCACAAGAGCAUAUAAGGAGCCAAGAGCACACUAACAUCAGAACUACAUUAAAGCUUUGAAGCCUGUCACAUGAAGCAGUUUUAUAAAAACAGACACAGUCUACUUUAUAUUCUGUUGGUGCAGCUUGUGUUAUCAGUUGUCUAGGUAAGUGCAGAGCAUUUGCUAAGAGCCUAGACAUCCACAUACUUCAGCAGUGGCGCAUCUGUCUGAAUGCUCUUUCAGACUUGUAUGUGGUUUUCAGGGGAAUUCUGCACAUAAAAGAAAAAAAGUCUUUCAGAUGUUUAUCAUGGAAAGACACUGGUAUGUCA